RNAcentral lists this ribosomal RNA (500 nucleotides) under uncultured bacterium. RNAcentral describes it as "partial 16S ribosomal RNA". It matches the Rfam family "Bacterial small subunit ribosomal RNA", at positions 30 to 523 of the family's 1533-position model. The record is from RNAcentral.
AUUGAACGCUGGCGGAAUGCUUUACACAUGCAAGUCGAACGGCAGCACGGACUUCGGUCUGGUGGCGAGUGGCGAACGGGUGAGUAAUACAUCGGAACGUGCCCAGUCGUGGGGGAUAACGUAGCGAAAGCUACGCUAAUACCGCAUACGAUCUAAGGAUGAAAGCGGGGGAUCGCAAGACCUCGCGCGAUUGGAGCGGCCGAGGGCAUAUUAGGUAGUGGGUGGGGUAAAGGCCUACAAAGCCGACGAUCUGUAGCUGGUCUGAGAGGACGACCAGCCACACUGGGACUGAGACACGGCCCAGACUCCUACGGGAGGCAGCAGUGGGGAAUUUUGGACAAUGGGCGCAAGCCUGAUCCAGCCAUUCCGCGUGCAGGAUGAAGGCCCUCGGGUUGUAAACUGCUUUUGUACGGAACGAAAAGGCUCUGGUUAAUACCCGGGGCUCAUGACGGUACCGUAAGAAUAAGCACCGGCUAACUACGUGCCAGCCGCCGCUGUAA